AUUGAACGCUGGCGGCAUGCCUUACACAUGCAAGUCGAACGGCAGCGGACCUUCGGGUGCCGGCGAGUGGCGAACGGGUGAGUAAUAUAUCGGAACGUACCUUUCAGUGGGGGAGUAACGUAGCGAAAGUUACGCUAAUACCGCAUAUUCUGUGAGCAGGAAAGCAGGGGAGUCGCAAGACCUUGCGCUGAUUGAGCGGCCGAUAUCAGAUUAGCUAGUUGGUGAGGUAAAGGCUCACCAAGGCGACGAUCUGUAGCGGGUCUGAGAGGAUGAUCCGCCACACUGGAACUGAGACACGGUCCAGACUCCUACGGGAGGCAGCAGUGGGGAAUUUUGGACGAAUGGGCGCAAGCCUGAUCCAGCCAUGCCGCGUGAGUGAAGAAGGCC
Molecule: ribosomal RNA, 387 nt
Filed under: uncultured bacterium
Lineage: Bacteria
Description: bacterial SSU rRNA
Rfam family: Bacterial small subunit ribosomal RNA
Source: RNAcentral